This 446-nucleotide ribosomal RNA is filed under the name uncultured bacterium. RNAcentral describes it as "bacterial SSU rRNA". It matches the Rfam family "Bacterial small subunit ribosomal RNA", at positions 337 to 797 of the family's 1533-position model. The record is from RNAcentral.
UCCUACGGGGGGCAGCAGUGGGGAAUCUUCCGCAAUGGGCGAAAGCCUGACGGAGCAACGCCGCGUGAGUGAUGAAGGCCUUCGGGUUGUAAAACUCUGUCUUCAGGGAAGAAAAAAAUGACGGUACCUGAGGAGGAAGCCACGGCUAACUACGUGCCAGCAGCCGCGGUAAUACGUAGGUGGCAAGCGUUGUCCGGAAUUACUGGGCGUAAAGCGCGCGUAGGCGGGUAUUUAAGUCAGGAGUGAAAACUAUCGGCUCAACCGGUAGCCUGCUCUUGAAACUGGAUACCUUGAGGGUAUGAGAGGAAAGCGGAAUUCCCAGUGUAGCGGUGAAAUGCGUAGAUAUUGGGAGGAACACCAGUGGCGAAGGCGGCUUUCUGGCAUACAACUGACGCUGAGGUGCGAAAGCGUGGGGAGCAAACGGGAUUAGAUACCCCGGUAGUCCG